GAUAAACGCUGGCGGCGUGCUUAACACAUGCAAGUCGAACGAAGUUUUUCUUUCGGGAGGAACUUAGUGGCGGACGGUUGAGUAACGCGUGGGUAACCUGCCCUGUACAGGGGGACAACAGCUGGAAACGGCUGCUAAUACCGCAUAAGCCCUUAGCACUGCAUGGUGCAUAGUGAAAAGGAGCAAUCCGGUACAGGAUGGACCCGCGUCUGAUUAGCCAGUUGGCAGGGUAACUGCCUACCAAAGCGACGAUCAGUAGCCGAUCUGAGAGGAUGUACGGCCACAUUGGGACUGAGACACGGCCCAGACUCCUACGGGAGGGAGCAGUGGGGAAUAUAGCAAAAUGGAGGAAACUCUGAUGCAGCGACGACGCGUGAGUGAAGAAGUAUUUCGGUAAGUAAAGCUCUAUCAGCAGGAAAGAAAAUGACGGUACCUGACUAAGAAGCACCGGCUAAAUACGUG
This 462-nucleotide ribosomal RNA is filed under the name uncultured bacterium. RNAcentral's name for it is "partial 16S ribosomal RNA". It matches the Rfam family "Bacterial small subunit ribosomal RNA", at positions 28 to 507 of the family's 1533-position model. The record is from RNAcentral.